AGAGUUUGAUCAUGGCUCAGAUUGAACGCUGGCGGCAGGCCUAACACAUGCAAGUCGAACGGUAACAGGAUGUGCUUGCACAUCGCUGACGAGUGGCGGACGGGUGAGUAAUGCUUGGGAACAUGCCUUUGUGAGGGGGAUAACAGUUGGAAACGACUGCUAAUACCGCAUAACGUCUUUGGACCAAAGGGGGCUUAGGCUCUCGCGCAAAGAGUGGCCCAAGUGAGAUUAGCUAGUUGGUGAGGUAAAGGCUCACCAAGGCGACGAUCUCUAGCUGUUCUGAGAGGAAGAUCAGCCACACUGGGACUGAGACACGGCCCAGACUCCUACGGGAGGCAGCAGUGGGGAAUAUUGCACAAUGGGGGGAACCCUGAUGCAGCCAUGCCGCGUGUGUGAAGAAGGCCUUCGGGUUGUAAAGCACUUUCAGUUGUGAGGAAAAGUUAGUAGUUAAUACCUGCUAACCGUGACGUUAGCAACAGAAGAAGUACCGGCUAACUCCGUGCCAGCAGCCGCGGUAAUACGGAGGGUGCGAGCGUUAAUCGGAAUUACUGGGCGUAAAGCGCACGCAGGCGGUUAUUUAAGCUAGAAGUGAAAGCCCCGGGCUCAACCUGGGAAGGCCUUUUAGAACUGGAUGACUAGAGUCUUGGAG
Molecule: ribosomal RNA, 649 nt
Filed under: uncultured Gammaproteobacteria bacterium
Lineage: Bacteria; Pseudomonadati; Pseudomonadota; Gammaproteobacteria
Description: bacterial SSU rRNA
Rfam family: Bacterial small subunit ribosomal RNA
Source: RNAcentral